Molecule: ribosomal RNA, 450 nt
Filed under: uncultured bacterium
Lineage: Bacteria
Description: bacterial SSU rRNA
Rfam family: Bacterial small subunit ribosomal RNA
Source: RNAcentral
GUGAGGAAUAUUGGGCAAUGGGCGAAAGCCUGACCCAGCCACGCCGCGUGAGUGAUGAAGGCCUUCGGGUUGUAAAGCUCUGUGGGGAGGGAAGAAAAAGCGCAGGAGUAACUGCCUGUGUGUUGACGGUACCUCCUUAGCAAGCACCGGCUAACUCUGUGCCAGCAGCCGCGGUAAUACAGAGGGUGCAAACGUUGCUCGGAAUUACUGGGCGUAAAGCGCGUGAAGGCUGACAUGCAAGUCGGGUGUGAAAUCCCAGGGCUCAACCGUGGAACUGAACUCGAAACUGCACGUCUUGAGUACUGGAGAGGGAAGCGGAAUUCCGGGUGUAGAGGUGAAAUUCGUAGAUAUCCGGAGGAACACCAGUGGCGAAGGCGGCUUCCUGGACAGUAACUGACGCUUAGACGCGAAAGCGUGGGGAGCAAACAGGAUUAGAAACCCGAGUAGUCC